This 217-nucleotide long non-coding RNA is filed under the name Physcomitrium patens. Its description in RNAcentral is "long non-coding RNA (PPAT_LNC012202)". Lineage: Eukaryota; Viridiplantae; Streptophyta; Bryopsida; Funariales; Funariaceae. The record is from RNAcentral.
GCAAUGCACCCAACACAAUGUUUCAACACAUGGCCUUUUUUGGGUGAAAUUCUACCUAUGAUGCAAGUUCAAAGUACCUUGUGAUAUUUCAAAACAUCACUUGGUACUUCACCAAAUCAUCCACCUUAUAAUGUGGGUGAUUUUGAAAUCAAAAUAUCAAAUGAGGGGCAGGUCAAAUAUGAAUAACCUUGUUGCUUGCCUCAGCUCUCCUGGAAAU